GAUGAACGCUGGCGGCGUGCCUAAUACAUGCAAGUCGAGCGAACAGACGAGGAGCUUGCUCCUCUGACGUUAGCGGCGGACGGGUGAGUAACACGUGGAUAACCUACCUAUAAGACUGGGAUAACUUCGGGAAACCGGAGCUAAUACCGGAUAAUAUAUUGAACCGCAUGGUUCAAUAGUGAAAGACGGUUUUGCUGUCACUUAUAGAUGGAUCCGCGCCGCAUUAGCUAGUUGGUAAGGUAACGGCUUACCAAGGCAACGAUGCGUAGCCGACCUGAGAGGGUGAUCGGCCACACUGGAACUGAGACACGGUCCAGACUCCUACGGGAGGCAGCAGUAGGGAAUCUUCCGCAAUGGGCGAAAGCCUGUCGGAGCAACGCCGCGUGAGUGAUGAAGGUCUUCGGAUCGUAAAACUCUGUUAUUAGGGAAGAACAAAUGUGUAAGUAACUAUGCACGUCUUGACGGUACCUAAUCAGAAAGCCACGGCUAACUACGUG
This 497-nucleotide ribosomal RNA is filed under the name uncultured bacterium. RNAcentral describes it as "partial 16S ribosomal RNA". It matches the Rfam family "Bacterial small subunit ribosomal RNA", at positions 28 to 507 of the family's 1533-position model. The record is from RNAcentral.